This 310-nucleotide ribosomal RNA is filed under the name Acinetobacter baumannii. Its description in RNAcentral is "partial 23S ribosomal RNA". It matches the Rfam family "Bacterial large subunit ribosomal RNA", at positions 1372 to 1684 of the family's 2925-position model. Lineage: Bacteria; Pseudomonadati; Pseudomonadota; Gammaproteobacteria; Moraxellales; Moraxellaceae. The record is from RNAcentral.
GGGCAGGGUGAGUCGACCCCUAAGGCGAGGCCGAAAGGCGUAGUCGAUGGGAAACAGGUUAAUAUUCCUGUACUUGGUGUUACUGCGAAGGGGGGACGGAGAAGGCUAUGUUAGCCGGGCGACGGUUGUCCCGGUUUAAGCAUGUAGGCUGGUUAUCCAGGCAAAUCCGGAUAAUCAAGGCUGAGGUGUGAUGACGAGGCACUACGGUGCUGAAGUAACAAAUGCCCUGCUUCCAGGAAAAGCCUCUAAGCAUCAGGUAACAUCAAAUCGUACCCCAAACCGACACAGGUGGUCAGGUAGAGAAUACCAA